CUAAUAAAUCUACUCUUCAAUAAGCUACUCUUCCUUACCGUUUUCCCCCCCCUUAAUCAUUCUCCACUCUCCUCUCCUUCUUUCCUUCACUUUUCCUAUAACUUUUCUCUAAUUUCCAACCACAUCAUUCCCCCUCACAUAAUAUGUAUUGGGCCUCCUUCCCGAAACACGAUCAUGGAGUCCAGCGUGUGCGCGAGUCAUUGGGUCAACCACCUAAAGGUGCAUUGUAAGUUUCUUCGUAUUCCUUAUAUGCGUAUGCCGCAGGGAAGAGGUGCCCCCUUGUGCUUUCUUUUUUGAGCCCCCCACUCUCCGGGCGUGUUUUUCUCUCUAUGAGUGGAGACGCACCAGGGGCGCACACGCUGUUACCUGAAAGAUGAUGUACUUGCCCGGCCAGGACGAUGCCAGGUGAACCCCUGUAGGAGGUCUGAAGCGGUUUCGACGUGCAAAUCCAUUGUUUGAAUGGGUAUAGGGGCGAAAGGCCAAUUGAAACAUUUUGUAGUUGGUUCCCUUUGAAGUUUCCCUCCGGAUAGGUGGCUUUCGGGAAGAGGCGAGUUUCAUCCGGGAGAGGGAAUGAUUAGAGGUGAGGGGGUCGAAAAGAAUUCAACCUAUUCUCAAAAUCCCCAUAGGUGAGAGCCCCGGCGUGCUUAAAAGUGAAGCCGCGGGACUAGGAUCAGAGAUGCCAAGUGGGCCAAUUUUGGUAAGCAGAAAGGCGCUGGGGAUGAACCAAACGCAGAGUAAGGCGCAUGAUUCGACGCUCACGGAAACCCGAAAGGCGCUGGUCUUCAGACGGCCAGGACCGGGCCAAUAGGUUAU
RNAcentral lists this ribosomal RNA (813 nucleotides) under Brachynema germarii. RNAcentral's name for it is "partial large subunit ribosomal RNA". It matches the Rfam family "Eukaryotic large subunit ribosomal RNA", at positions 506 to 1262 of the family's 3401-position model. Lineage: Eukaryota; Metazoa; Arthropoda; Insecta; Hemiptera; Pentatomidae. The record is from RNAcentral.